RNAcentral lists this ribosomal RNA (459 nucleotides) under Streptomyces albidoflavus. Its description in RNAcentral is "bacterial SSU rRNA". It matches the Rfam family "Bacterial small subunit ribosomal RNA", at positions 119 to 592 of the family's 1533-position model. Lineage: Bacteria; Bacillati; Actinomycetota; Actinomycetes; Kitasatosporales; Streptomycetaceae. The record is from RNAcentral.
GGGCAAUCUGCCCUGCACUCUGGGACAAGCCCUGGAAACGGGGUCUAAUACCGGAUAUGACCGUCUGCCGCAUGGUGGAUGGUGUAAAGCUCCGGCGGUGCAGGAUGAGCCCGCGGCCUAUCAGCUUGUUGGUGAGGUAGUGGCUCACCAAGGCGACGACGGGUAGCCGGCCUGAGAGGGCGACCGGCCACACUGGGACUGAGACACGGCCCAGACUCCUACGGGAGGCAGCAGUGGGGAAUAUUGCACAAUGGGCGAAAGCCUGAUGCAGCGACGCCGCGUGAGGGAUGACGGCCUUCGGGUUGUAAACCUCUUUCAGCAGGGAAGAAGCGAAAGUGACGGUACCUGCAGAAGAAGCGCCGGCUAACUACGUGCCAGCAGCCGCGGUAAUACGUAGGGCGCAAGCGUUGUCCGGAAUUAUUGGGCGUAAAGAGCUCGUAGGCGGCUUGUCACGUCGGU